GCCCGGCUAGCUCAAUCGGUAGAGCAGUUGACUCUUAAUCAAUUGGUUGGGGGUUCGAGUCCCCCACCGGGUA
Molecule: transfer RNA, 73 nt
Filed under: Opitutales bacterium
Lineage: Bacteria; Pseudomonadati; Verrucomicrobiota; Opitutia; Opitutales
Description: tRNA-Lys
Rfam family: tRNA
About the family: Transfer RNA (tRNA) molecules are approximately 80 nucleotides in length. Their secondary structure includes four short double-helical elements and three loops (D, anti-codon, and T loops). Further hydrogen bonds mediate the characteristic L-shaped molecular structure. tRNAs have two regions of fundamental functional importance: the anti-codon, which is responsible for specific mRNA codon recognition, and the 3' end, to which the tRNAs corresponding amino acid is attached (by aminoacyl-tRNA synthetases). tRNAs cope with the degeneracy of the genetic code in two manners: having more than one tRNA (with a specific anti-codon) for a particular amino acid; and 'wobble' base-pairing, i.e. permitting non-standard base-pairing at the 3rd anti-codon position.
Source: RNAcentral